GGAGAGGUGGCCGAGUGGCCGAAGGCAGCAGUUUGCUAAACUGCCGUAGGGGGAAACUUCUACCGAGGGUUCAAAUCCCUCCCUCUCCGCCA
Molecule: transfer RNA, 92 nt
Filed under: Nitrospira sp.
Lineage: Bacteria; Pseudomonadati; Nitrospirota; Nitrospiria; Nitrospirales; Nitrospiraceae
Also listed under: 6 other names
Description: tRNA-Ser
Rfam family: tRNA
About the family: Transfer RNA (tRNA) molecules are approximately 80 nucleotides in length. Their secondary structure includes four short double-helical elements and three loops (D, anti-codon, and T loops).
Source: RNAcentral